RNAcentral lists this ribosomal RNA (161 nucleotides) under Neogregarinorida sp. OPPPC1. Its description in RNAcentral is "5.8S ribosomal RNA". It matches the Rfam family "5.8S ribosomal RNA". From Rfam's summary of the family: 5.8S ribosomal RNA (5.8S rRNA) is a component of the large subunit of the eukaryotic ribosome. The record is from RNAcentral. Lineage: Eukaryota; Apicomplexa; Conoidasida; Neogregarinorida.
AAUACUUUCAGCGAUGGAUGGCUUGGCUCCUGCUUCGAUGAAGAACGCAGCCUACUGCGAUACGCAGUAUGAUUUGCAGAACUCAAUGAAUUCUUAGCUUUUUGAACGCAAAAGGCGCUUCUUUUUAACUUAAAAGGAAGCGUGUUCACUUCAGAACAACA